AUUGAACGCUGGCGGCAUGCCUUACACAUGCAAGUCGAACGGUAACAGGUUAAGCUGACGAGUGGCGGACGGGUGAGUAAUGUAUCGGAACGUGCCCAGUCGUGGGGGAUAACUGCUCGAAAGAGCAGCUAAUACCGCAUACGACCUGAGGGUGAAAGCGGGGGAUCGCAAGACCUCGCGCGAUUGGAGCGGCCGAUAUCAGAUUAGGUAGUUGGUGAGGUAAAGGCUCACCAAGCCGACGAUCUGUAGCUGGUCUGAGAGGACGACCAGCCACACUGGGACUGAGACACGGCCCAGACUCCUACGGGAGGCAGCAGUGGGGAAUUUUGGACAAUGGGCGCAAGCCUGAUCCAGCCAUGCCGCGUGCGGGAAGAAGGCCUUCGGGUUGUAAACCGCUUUUGUCAGGGAAGAAAAGGUUCUGGCUAAUACCUGGGACUCAUGACGGUACCUGAAGAAUAAGCACCGGCUAACUACGUG
This 477-nucleotide ribosomal RNA is filed under the name uncultured bacterium. Its description in RNAcentral is "partial 16S ribosomal RNA". It matches the Rfam family "Bacterial small subunit ribosomal RNA", at positions 30 to 507 of the family's 1533-position model. The record is from RNAcentral.